This 69-nucleotide transfer RNA is filed under the name Marmota monax (woodchuck). RNAcentral's name for it is "tRNA.Ala". It matches the Rfam family "tRNA". Rfam says of the family: Transfer RNA (tRNA) molecules are approximately 80 nucleotides in length. Lineage: Eukaryota; Metazoa; Chordata; Mammalia; Rodentia; Sciuridae. The record is from RNAcentral.
GGGCUGUAGCUCAAUGGUAGAGCACUUGCCUUGCAGGUACGAGGCCCUGGGUUCGAUCCUCAGCACCCA